AUACGGAGGAUCCGAGCGUUAUCCGGAUUUCUUGGGUUUAAAGGGAGCGCAGGCGGAGAUGCAAGCGUGACGUCAAAUUUCGGGGCUCAACCCCGUCUCGCGUCGCGAACUGCGUCCCUUGGUUGCGGGAAGGGGAGGCGGAACUCGUGGUGUAGCGGUGAAAUGCAUAGAUAUCACGAAUAAAUCCGAUCGCGAAGGCAGCCUUCCGGCCCGUCAACGACGCUCAUGCUCGAAGGUGCGGGUAUCAAACAGGAUUAGAUUCCCUGGUAGUCCGCACAGUAAACGAUGGACGCCCGCGGUUUGGCCUGUAUGGCUGAGCCGCCAAGCGAAAGCGUUAAGUGUCCCCCCUGGGGAGUACGCCGGCAACGGUGAAACUCAAAUGAAUUGACGGGG
Molecule: ribosomal RNA, 393 nt
Filed under: uncultured bacterium
Lineage: Bacteria
Description: partial 16S ribosomal RNA
Rfam family: Bacterial small subunit ribosomal RNA
Source: RNAcentral